GACGAACGCUGGCGGCGUGCUUAACACAUGCAAGUCGUACGGUAAGGCCCUUUCGGGGGUACACGAGUGGCGAACGGGUGAGUAACACGUGAGUAACCUGCCCACAACUUUGGGAUAACGCUAGGAAACUGGUGCUAAUACUGGAUAUGUGCCCCUGCUGCAUGGGGGGGGUUGGAAAGCUCCGGCGGUUGUGGAUGGACUCGCGGCCUAUCAGCUUGUUGGUGGGGUAGUGGGCUACCAAGGCGGCGACGGGUAGCCGGCCUGAGAGGGUGACCGGCCACAUUGGGACUGAGAUACGGCCCAGACUCCUACGGGAGGCAGCAGUGGGGAAUAUUGCACAAUGGGCGCAAGCCUGAUGCAGCAACGCCGCGUGCGGGAUGACGGCCUUCGGGUUGUAAACCGCUUUCAGCAGGGACGAAGCUUUUUGUGACGGUACCUGCAGAAGAAGCACCGGCUAACUACGUG
This 465-nucleotide ribosomal RNA is filed under the name uncultured bacterium. Its description in RNAcentral is "partial 16S ribosomal RNA". It matches the Rfam family "Bacterial small subunit ribosomal RNA", at positions 28 to 507 of the family's 1533-position model. The record is from RNAcentral.